UACGUAGGGGGCAAGCGUUGUCCGGAUUUAUUGGGCGUAAAGAGCGUGUAGGCGGUUUGGUAGGUCCGCUGUGAAAACUCGAGCUCAACCUCGAGACGCCGGUGGAAACCAUCAGACUAGAGUCCGGAAGAGGAGAGUGGAAUUCCUGGUGUAGCGGUGAAAUGCGCAGAUAUCAGGAAGAACACCCGUGGCUAAGGCGGCUCUCUGGGACGGUACUGACGCUGAGACGCGAAAGCGUGGGGAGCGAACAGG
This 252-nucleotide ribosomal RNA is filed under the name uncultured bacterium. Its description in RNAcentral is "partial 16S ribosomal RNA". It matches the Rfam family "Bacterial small subunit ribosomal RNA", at positions 524 to 776 of the family's 1533-position model. The record is from RNAcentral.